Non-coding RNA from Avibacterium paragallinarum, 86 nucleotides. The record is from Rfam. NCBI's taxonomy places the organism in Bacteria, Pseudomonadati, Pseudomonadota, Gammaproteobacteria, Pasteurellales, Pasteurellaceae.
GCUACAGCAAAUUCUGUAGCCGAGCCUGGAAACUCGAACAAUAUAUCAGUGGCGGAUAAAUGCACGCCUCUUAAUGCGUGUUUUUU